CAGUAUGCUACCACGAUGCCCGUUGUGAAACACUACGGUUCAUCGACAGAAAAUCGUCCUCAAAAAAUUCGAAGGUUAACCUACGAAAAAAAGUCAGGCGCUCGCUCCCUCGUGCCCUCGAUGCACUUGCCCACCGCCACUCUCCUCUGCCCCAACCCCAACCCCGCCGUUGCCUCAAUCCCACCGUCGUCGGCCUCCUCCUCCUCUAGCGCCGCCGCUCCAGCCUCUCACCUUCUCAGCCUGGAUCCGCGUGACAAGGUGUGGGGCUAUGGGAGAGAAGGCUCCAUAUCACGCGACAAGGUGAGGGGGCGCCCAGAUCCGCAGCGGCACCACCGCGCCCUCGUCCACCUGGCCCGCGAGGUCGGCCAUGGAGGUCCGGCCCGACCAAUGGAUGGAUGGGGAUGAAACCCUAGCCCAACACCCACCCAUGGAUGGAUGGGGAUGGGGCGACGACGGCGGCGGCGGCGGCCUUCUCUCGGUGGUUGCUGAUGUGGUGGACAUCAACGUCGGUGACGGGUUGCAGCACGUAGACAUCAAAGGCCGCGGGUGUGACGGAGGAGCACUAUGGCGGGCGUGCAGGCCAUGGCUCGCUAUGGAAGGCCCUUCCCUUCCCUCUCUCUGUUCAGGCCAUGGUCAGGCAGUCUUUUCUGGCUAGAGCCCAACACAAAAGCCGUCCCUAAUGUUGUUGCUGCUAAUGCCUACACACACACACACACAGAGAGAGAGAGAGAGAGAGAGAGAGAGAGAGACAAGAGAUUGUUGUGACGGAAAACAUUGAGAUCUAACAUAAGUACCCGCGCAGGCAUUGCAUUUGUUGAAUGCAAAACAUGAAAAUAUGAAAAAUCUACUUCCAACUAAAAAUGGUCACCAGCAAGCAGGUAGAUCCACAACUUGGUGGAUGGCAUUUCAAGGCACACUAUUCAGGUUAACCCCAAUGCAUGGACUACAAUCUACAUCAUCCGCCAAAUGACGGCAUCAACAGAGCCUUGAUUGCUCGAAUGGGCUGGGACCAGAUUGUUGUUUUACUGGUCAAUUAGUUCAUCGCGGACUCGAAAUACACGUGAUCUGAUGUCAGAUUGUUCACACAACGAUGCCCUUGCCACUUCUGCAGGUAAGAUGCGAUGAGUCAUGGCUGAUGUUCGAUUGUUUAGCACAUGGAGUUUUCGCCUAUCGUGUUGUCCGAUAGUUUCAGUUUAAUUGGAACAAAAUAACCAGGGGCACUCUCUAGCUAAUACUUGGUACUGAGUUGUACUUUAUCCUCCACCGUAUUGAGGUUAUCUAUGUCGACUAUGCAACGAUUUUAUCUUUUCUAAAGAAAACUUGAAUUUGAUGCUAGGCUAUUCCCAAAAGAACACAGAAUGAAUGGAUGGUUGGACUCAUUUCCUCACUCAUGAAAUGUGCCUGACAUCAGCAAACAUCACAAAAAGCAAAACCAGCUCAUUUUAUGCUAGCACAUUACCUGAAGUACAGUUAAAGUAUUAAAAUGAAGACUAUUGGACAAUGCAGAGCAAUUUAUUUUCCUUUUCUUUGUUGCAUACUUUGCAUCAAGUUAAAUUUCCCGUGUCUGCCUGAGAGAAAACCAUGCUUGUAUGCAUAAGAAAUCAAGCAAGACACAGUCCUUGGUAAAAAAGGUACAUACCGAUGAUUGUUUUCUCAUGUUUAAUGUUGGAAAUCUCGAGUCUCUCUGCUGCUUUGCAGCGAGACUUAUAUUCUGCGAGAUAUGGCUCUGUCUUUCUUGAAAACAAUUGACCUUUUGUUUUCCACAACAAAAACACACUAGGAAAUGCAUUUGUGAGAUGCCAACAACUUUUGUCAAUGUAGCAGUAUUUUUUGCAAGUCUGUCUGAAGAGGGCAGAAUCAUAUUCACGUAGAUAGAAAUGAUGGUGAUUAACCGACCAAGCCGCCGUCCAUUGAGUCUACCUGUUAGAGCUUGAAUUUUAUUGUUCUGUUCAUCAGUUUUUUUUGUAGUUUUCUUAAUGCACUGCAAAGCCCUCUCAUGUAUAGUGAUUUUAUUCAUAUAACUACUUUAGUUGGUUCAUCAGUUUAUAGGUUACCCCGUCUUCGACAAUGGAUGUCACGGCGAAGCUACUCGGUUACCUUGCUUCUCCAGCUCUUCCUGAAUGGUCCCCGAGCUAAACUCACUGGGACGAGUGAUCCUUGGGGAGGAGGACCAUGAUGCCGCUGUCUUGUGGCUCAUAGACAUAACCAAGCACAAUCUGAAAAAGCAUAAUUGACAGGGCUGCACAAUGUGCUAUUUUUAUUGCAACGAGGAGUCCAUUCAACAUUUAUUCCUUACAUGUCCGCUCACCAUGCUGUUUGUGGCGUUCUAUUCAUGAUGGUUUGGGUCUCCUAUCCCUUGUAUCAAUCAUCAAAAAAUAUUUAUCAAGGUUAUAAGGAAAAGGAGUAGCAGGAUGAUAGCUGAUGCUGCUCUUUUCACAUAUUAGUUGUAUAAUGUUCAAUCUUGGUCAUGCUAUUAUCAUGUAUAGUUAAAACAGUUUCAUUUAAAUAGAAUUUAGAAUUUUAGGUUACACCCUAUUCCCUUGCUCAUCGGAGGUACUGGAGACAUGUGUAGAGGUUUCAUUCUCAUGGAGGGUGACUCCAACAAUAAGAGCAGUCACAACAUCCUUGGCAGCAACUCUUUGAUAGUGGGAAUCAAGGCUUGGGGUUAAAUAUUUUUUGCAGAUAUGUGUCAUGCUUUGCGCUGAUCAUGGUCCUUGUGUAUCCGGUGCUCACAAUUCUAUACUUACUGAUAGGGCUGGAAGACCUUAUUUCCAGCUUAGUAUCUGGAUACCACAAGAGAUGAUUCUAAGAAGGGGUAACGGGAAGGUCCUGAAAAAGAACAAGCUGGAGAAGAUGGAGCUUAUCACCAAAUAUACGUGGAGGAAGAUGAAGAAGCAAGACCCUAAGGUGGACGGCUCUUAGAACAUAACUGACAAAUAAGCAGAGGUGCUAUGGAAUCCAUGGGUGGUAAGCAUUUUUAUCAGUAGUAGUUCCUCCCUGAUGUAUGUAACCCGCCAUGCAGUCGGUAUCGAGAAAUUCUGCUCCACUGCUUUUCUACUACAUUGAGGACUAUGAUCAUGUGUCUCGAAGAGAGGUUUACUGUUGACAUUUUUAUUUGCUUUGUAGCUUCAUAUGUUCAUACUUCCAGCAGAUAGUCUGAACAAAUAGUGCUGCAAGAGUCCCCUUGCUAUAAAUCGAGUUAACUUUUAGCUUUGCGGGUAGUCAACCAAAUUUUGGUACUUGGUAGGUAGCCCCUGCCCAUUUAUCAGCGACAAUUGUCAUCACCUUUGGAAGCAAUAGUUUGGUUCGGAUAAAGAACCAUGUUAUACUUGUUUGUUUUGUGUAUAAGCAUCAAAUCUUUCAAAUGGAUGUUGUGAUUAGAACAAUGACAAAUUAGUGUUCAUCACUAUUUAUUUUGGACUUGAAUGUACUCGAGCAUUUGUGUCAAGACUAAUAUUUUUCUGUUGAAAAACAUUUCUAAUAUUUUAGUUCGUGUGAUGUAUUUUAGAUAGUACUGCUUCAAUAUUGUGCGCUCGAUUGUUAUUACAGUUAACAAAAUAUUUAAAAUUCCAGUGAAAAUGUACAGCAUCCAAUAAUACAGUGUAUAUUAACAUUUAUAUGUGUUGAGACGUGCGUUGCACGUGCACGCGUACUAUUUCCACGUGUGAUAUGGGGUGUAUAUUCAAGGGUCAUGUACAUACUUGAGAAUGAAACCUCUACACAUAAUCUUCCACUGUACAUACUUGACCAAUAUGGAGUGUAUAUUCAACGGUCAUGUGAUGUAGAUACAAAUCUUUGUAAUCCUCAAGUGCGUAGCAGGACAUCAACUUUUUAUAGGUAUAGGAGGACAUACUAUUGUGCAAUUUCGGAACCUUGUCGAGCACAGCCUACAAAUCCACGUGUGAUAUUAUCUGGUCCUAUUUCCACUGUUUUUUAAGAGAAUAUAUGAUUGACCACUUUUAACCAAGUUGGUUCUGGUACAUUCAUCAAGUAUCGUUUGGUUUUCUUUCAGUUUAUGCAUGGAUCUUAUGGUGCAAGACAAUAUUUGUUCAACUCUGGGCCAACUUGCUACUGAUAAGAAUCAUCAGUAAUUGCAUUUUUUCUUGUGGGUAUUAUGAAUUGUUCAUUAGGAUUUUUGUUAACAUGCUCAAGUAACUUUUCUAGCAUCAAAUUCAUCUUAUCUUAUGAUGAAACUUACUGAUGGCUGCUUUUAUUUGCGUCAUCACACUACUUCAGACUUUGCAAGUUAGUCUAUCUCUGAAUCUCCAAGUGGCGUAGGGGUGCUACAUAAUGAAGAUAACAUAAUGCCUAUAUAGUUUUCCAUCCCUACAAUUUGCUAUGUUCCCUCUUUUAGACUGCAAUUUUUUAUCUGGGAAAUACAAAGUUUGCUUAAAUGGACCGGUAUGCAAUAGCAUAACACUUCAAAUUAUACUGAGUUCAUAAUUUAUAUAAAAUGUAGUAUGAUGUUAAUCCUUUCAUACUUAGUAGGGCCAGCUACAGAUGUGUUUCCAACAUGAUUUAUGCCUCAUGUUGAAUCCUUUCCUUAGAAAGAUUAAAUUUCCAACAUGGAACUUACACAUCUCAACUUUAUAUGUACUCAAUCAGAUUUCAUUCAUUCAUUUCAAAGUGUAUAAUGGAAAGAGGCACACCACAACAUUUGUAGCGAUGAUUUAUAAAUUAUAGAUCUUAAGGUGUGUUGGACCCAAACAACUUACUAUUUUGUUUUUUUGCUAAAAUAAGGAGGGUGAUGCAAAUAGUAGUGUGAUUGUAACGUGAGUCCUUAACCUCUCCGUCUGCUCAUAAACCUUAUCUCUUUUGCUUCAGAUCAUAUUUUUCUGCACUUCUCUGUUUUGAUCUUUGUGCUUGAUCUGAGCCAAGAUAAUGCAAAAAAUGGUUAUGGAAAAAUUGUGUGCGUUCAUGACAUAUCUGACCGAUUGCCUAACUGCUGCCUUUUAAUGUUCUUCCAGGGGAGACCUGAGACUCACGACCUAGGCGACCGCGGGCAGUUGCCGCUCUCCAGUCAUGCCACUUCACCACUAUGGGAGAGUAACCUGAUGUAUUUCUACCUCUUAACACUAGAUGCUUACGAAUGGUCGUUUGUAUUUUGAAAUUGUCUUGGUCCCUGUUCCAACAUGUAGAAUACAUGUUUUUGAAGAUAAAUGCAAUUGUGUGUUUCUAAUUCAGAUGCAAAUCAAUCGGUCAGCUAAUUUCAGAUUA
Triticum dicoccoides is the source of this 5217-nucleotide long non-coding RNA. RefSeq lists it as uncharacterized. The transcript has 8 exons. The record is from RefSeq and is a predicted model, not a curated record. NCBI's taxonomy places the organism in Eukaryota, Viridiplantae, Streptophyta, Magnoliopsida, Poales, Poaceae.